RNAcentral lists this transfer RNA (39 nucleotides) under Cucurbita moschata (crookneck pumpkin). RNAcentral describes it as "partial tRNA-Leu". Lineage: Eukaryota; Viridiplantae; Streptophyta; Magnoliopsida; Cucurbitales; Cucurbitaceae. The record is from RNAcentral.
AAAAGUAGGGGGAGAAGAUCCUAAAAAGUUACAAGUCCC